This 253-nucleotide ribosomal RNA is filed under the name uncultured bacterium. RNAcentral's name for it is "partial 16S ribosomal RNA". It matches the Rfam family "Bacterial small subunit ribosomal RNA", at positions 524 to 776 of the family's 1533-position model. The record is from RNAcentral.
UACGAAGGGUGCAAGCGUUACUCGGAAUUACUGGGCGUAAAGCGUGCGUAGGUGGUGAGUUAAGUCUGUCGUGAAAGCCCAGGGCUCAACCCUGGGAUGCCGGUCGAUACUGCCGGACUAGAGUUCGGAAGAGGCGAGUGGAAUUCCCGGUGUAGCGGUGAAAUGCGUAGAUAUCGGGAGGAACAUCAGUGGCGAAGGCGGCCCUCUGGUCCAGUACUGACACUCAAGUGCGAAAGCGUGGGGAGCAAACAGG